This is a non-coding RNA of Cordylochernes scorpioides, 69 nucleotides long. The record is from the annotation of a GenBank genome assembly. NCBI's taxonomy places the organism in Eukaryota, Metazoa, Arthropoda, Arachnida, Pseudoscorpiones, Chernetidae.
UGCAUCGGCCGGGAAUAGAACCCGACCCGCGCGUGGCAGGCGAGCAUUCUACCACUGAACCACCGAUGG